Molecule: long non-coding RNA, 223 nt
Filed under: Hordeum vulgare
Lineage: Eukaryota; Viridiplantae; Streptophyta; Magnoliopsida; Poales; Poaceae
Description: long non-coding RNA (HVUL_LNC021426)
Source: RNAcentral
AAAACUGUGAGUUUUUAUGAGUUCCACGUAAUCGGACCCCGGGGUUCCCGAAAUGUUCGGUUCACAGCGGGACCCAAAAUCAGUGAGUAAUAGCAUACAAAACUAGCCACAAUAGACCAAAACUGCGAGUUUUGACGAGUUCCCCGUAACCGGACCUCGGGGUUCCCGAAACGUUUGGAUCGCAGCGGCAACCAAAAUCAGUGAGUAAUAGCAUACAAAACUG